GAGUUCGAUCCUGGCUCAGGACGAACGCUGGCGGCGUGCUUAACACAUGCAAGUCGAACGCUGAAGCCUAGCUUGCUGGGUGGAUGAGUGGCGAACGGGUGAGUAACACGUGAGUAACCUGCCCCCUUCUUUGGGAUAACGCCCGGAAACGGGUGCUAAUACUGGAUAUUCACUGAUCUUCGCAUGGGGGUUGGUGGAAAGGUUUUUUCUGGUGGGGGAUGGGCUCGCGGCCUAUCAGCUUGUUGGUGGGGUGAUGGCCUACCAAGGCUUUGACGGGUAGCCGGCCUGAGAGGGUGACCGGUCACAUUGGGACUGAGAUACGGCCCAGACUCCUACGG
This 338-nucleotide ribosomal RNA is filed under the name uncultured Actinomyces sp. RNAcentral describes it as "bacterial SSU rRNA". It matches the Rfam family "Bacterial small subunit ribosomal RNA", at positions 9 to 344 of the family's 1533-position model. Lineage: Bacteria; Bacillati; Actinomycetota; Actinomycetes; Actinomycetales; Actinomycetaceae. The record is from RNAcentral.